GGGUUGUGAGGUUAAGCGACUAAGCGUACACGGUGGAUGCCCUGGCAGUCAGAGGCGAUGAAGGGCGUGCUAAUCUGCGAUAAGCGCCGGUAAGGUGAUAUGAACCGUUAUAACCGGCGAUACCCGAAUGGGGAAACCCAGUGUGAUUCGUCACACUAUCAUUAACUGAAUCCAUAGGUUAAUGAGGCGAACCGGGGGAACUGAAACAUCUAAGUACCCCGAGGAAAAGAAAUCAACCGAGAUUCCCCCAGUAGCGGCGAGCGAACGGGGAGGAGCCCAGAGCCUGAAUCAGCAUGUGUGUUAGUGGAAGCGUCUGGAAAGGCGCGCGAUACAGGGUGACAGCCCCGUACACAAAAGCGCAUGUGUUGUGAGCUCGAUGAGUAGGGCGGGACACGUGGUAUCCUGUCUGAAUAUGGGGGGACCAUCCUCCAAGGCUAAAUACUCCUGACUGACCGAUAGUGAACCAGUACCGUGAGGGAAAGGCGAAAAGAACCCCGGCGAGGGGAGUGAAAAAGAACCUGAAACCGUGUACGUACAAGCAGUGGGAGCACAGGUUUACCUGUGUGACUGCGUACCUUUUGUAUAAUGGGUCAGCGACUUAUAUUCUGUAGCAAGGUUAACCGAAUAGGGGAGCCGGAGGGAAACCGAGUCUUAAUUGGGCGUUAAGUUGCAGGGUAUAGACCCGAAACCCGGUGAUCUAGCCAUGGGCAGGUUGAAGGUUGGGUAACACUAACUGGAGGACCGAACCGACUAAUGUUGAAAAAUUAGCGGAUGACCUGUGGCUGGGGGUGAAAGGCCAAUCAAACCGGGAGAUAGCUGGUUCUCCCCGAAAGCUAUUUAGGUAGCGCCUCGUGAAUUCAUCUCCGGGGGUAGAGCACUGUUUCGGCUAGGGGGCCAUCCCGGCUUACCAACCCGAUGCAAACUGCGAAUACCGGAGAAUGUUAUCACGGGAGACACACGGCGGGUGCUAACGUCCGUCGUGAAGAGGGAAACAACCCAGACCGCCAGCUAAGGUCCCAAAGUCAUGGUUAAGUGGGAAACGAUGUGGGAAGGCCCAGACAGCCAGGAUGUUGGCUUAGAAGCAGCCAUCAUUUAAAGAAAGCGUAAUAGCUCACUGGUCGAGUCGGCCUGCGCGGAAGAUGUAACGGGGCUAAACCAUGCACCGAAGCUGCGGCAGCGACGCUUAUGCGUUGUUGGGUAGGGGAGCGUUCUGUAAGCCUGUGAAGGUGUGUCGUGAGGCAUGCUGGAGGUAUCAGAAGUGCGAAUGCUGACAUAAGUAACGAUAAAGCGGGUGAAAAGCCCGCUCGCCGGAAGACCAAGGGUUCCUGUCCAACGUUAAUCGGGGCAGGGUGAGUCGACCCCUAAGGCGAGGCCGAAAGGCGUAGUCGAUGGGAAACGGGUUAAUAUUCCCGUACUUGGUGUUACUGCGAAGGGGGGACGGAGAAGGCUAUGUUGGCCGGGCGACGGUUGUCCCGGUUUAAGCGUGUAGGUGUGUGUUCCAGGUAAAUCCGGUU
Molecule: ribosomal RNA, 1514 nt
Filed under: Salmonella enterica subsp. enterica serovar Paratyphi B var. L(+) tartrate +
Lineage: Bacteria; Pseudomonadati; Pseudomonadota; Gammaproteobacteria; Enterobacterales; Enterobacteriaceae
Description: partial 23S ribosomal RNA
Rfam family: Bacterial large subunit ribosomal RNA
Source: RNAcentral